Molecule: ribosomal RNA, 456 nt
Filed under: uncultured bacterium
Lineage: Bacteria
Description: bacterial SSU rRNA
Rfam family: Bacterial small subunit ribosomal RNA
Source: RNAcentral
ACUGAGAAGAGUAGUGGCGAACGGGUGAGGUAACACGUGGGGUAACCUGCCCAUAAAGAGGGGGAUAACAAUCCGGAAACGGGUGCUAAUACCGCAUAGUUUUCUUGAUCGCAUGAUCGGAAAGGAAAGACGGCCUUGUGCUGUCGCUUAUGGAUGGACCCGCGGCGUAUUAGUUAGUUGGUGAGGUAACGGCUCACCAAGACGAUGAUACGUAGCCGACCUGAGAGGGUGAUCGGCCACAUUGGGACUGAGACACGGCCCAAACUCCUACGGGAGGCAGCAGUAGGGAAUCUUCCGCAAUGGACGAAAGUCUGACGGAGCAACGCCGCGUGAGUGAAGAAGGUUUUUCCGGAUCGUAAAACUCUGUUGUCAGAGAAGAACAAGUUGGAGAGUAACUGCUCCAGCCUUGACGGUAUCUGACCAGAAAGCCACGGCUAACUACGUGCCAGCAGCCGC